This 428-nucleotide non-coding RNA is filed under the name Pseudomonas sp. ABAC61. Its description in RNAcentral is "bacterial SSU rRNA". It matches the Rfam family "Bacterial small subunit ribosomal RNA", at positions 108 to 532 of the family's 1533-position model. Lineage: Bacteria; Pseudomonadati; Pseudomonadota; Gammaproteobacteria; Pseudomonadales; Pseudomonadaceae. The record is from RNAcentral.
GAGUAAUGCCUAGGAAUCUGCCUGGUAGUGGGGGAUAACGUUUCGAAAGGAGCGCUAAUACCGCAUACGUCCUACGGGAGAAAGCAGGGGACCUUCGGGCCUUGCGCUAUCAGAUGAGCCUAGGUCGGAUUAGCUAGUUGGAGAGGUAAUGGCUCACCAAGGCUACGAUCCGUAACUGGGCUGAGAGGAUGAUCAGUCACACUGGAACUGAGACACGGUCCAGACUCCUACGGGAGGCAGCAGUGGGGAAUAUUGGACAAUGGGCGAAAGCCUGAUCCAGCCAUGCCGCGUGUGUGAAGAAGGUCUUCGGAUUGUAAAGCACUUUAAGUUGGGAGGAAGGGCAGUAAGCUAAUAUCUUGCUGUUUUGACGUUACCGACAGAAUAAGCACCGGCUAACUCUGUGCCAGCAGCCGCGGUAAUACAGAGGG